GUCCUUUUGUAAAAAAUUUAAGGUCUAACCUGCCCACUGAAAUUUUAAAUGGCCGCAGUAUUUUGACUGUGCAAAGGUAGCAUAAUCAUUAGUUUUUUAAUUGAAAGCUGGUAUGAAGGGUUGGAUGAAAAAAAAACUGUCUCUAUUUAAUUUAUUGAAGAAAUUUAUUUUUGAGUUAAAAAGCUUAAAUUAUUUUGAAAGACGAGAAGACCCUAUAGAGUUUAAUAAAAAUUUAUGAUAUAAAAUUUUGGAAUUUUAAUUUUAAAUUAAAAAUUUUUGUUUUGUUGGGGUGAUGAAAAAAUUAAAUAAACUUUUUUUUAAUAAAACCAUUGAUUUAUGAAAAAUUGAUCCAUAAAUUAUGAUUAAAAGAUAAAAUUACCUUAGGGAUAACAGCGUAAUUUUUUUUUAGAGUUCAAAUUAAAAAAAAAGAUUGCGACCUCGAUGUUGGAUUAAAAUAAAUUUUUGGUGUAGAAGUUAAAAAUUUUUGGUCUGUUCGACCAUUAAAAUUUUACA
RNAcentral lists this ribosomal RNA (513 nucleotides) under Typocerus velutinus. RNAcentral's name for it is "partial 16S ribosomal RNA". It matches the Rfam family "Bacterial large subunit ribosomal RNA", at positions 1825 to 2600 of the family's 2925-position model. The record is from RNAcentral. Lineage: Eukaryota; Metazoa; Arthropoda; Insecta; Coleoptera; Cerambycidae.